GUCCACGCCGUAAACGAUGAGUGCUAGGUGUCGCGGGUAUUGACCCCUGCGGUGCCGCAGUUAACGCAUUAAGCACUCCGCCUGGGGAGUACGGCCGCAAGGCUAAAACUCAAAGGAAUUGACGGGGGCCCGCACAAGCGGUGGAGCAUGUGGUUCAAUUCGACGCAACGCGAAGAACCUUACCUGGGUUAAAUCCACUCGAAGCCCGCAGAGAUGUGGGGGUGCCCUUCGGGGAGCGAGUGAGAAGGUGCUGCAUGGCUGUCGU
Molecule: ribosomal RNA, 265 nt
Filed under: uncultured bacterium
Lineage: Bacteria
Description: partial 16S ribosomal RNA
Rfam family: Bacterial small subunit ribosomal RNA
Source: RNAcentral